CGUAGCCGAAGAUGACCGUCGGGUCGAGGGUCGGAUUGGUGACGGUGCGCACCUGGCCGGCCCACUGGUUGUUGUUGUCGAAGAACCAGGGGUCGUAGAUGCCGCCAAACCAGCAGGCCUUGGCCACCAGCAGGAAGCAACCGAUCCCAAGCAGGAUCAGGUGGAUGCCCAGGAUGGUGGUCAUCUUGUUCUUGUCUUUCCA
Molecule: antisense RNA, 202 nt
Filed under: Gloeobacter violaceus PCC 7421
Lineage: Bacteria; Bacillati; Cyanobacteriota; Cyanophyceae; Gloeobacterales; Gloeobacteraceae
Description: Antisense RNA which regulates isiA expression
Rfam family: Antisense RNA which regulates isiA expression
Source: Rfam by way of RNAcentral